CCUACGGGGGGCAGCAGUGAGGAAUAUUGGUCAAUGGACGAGAGUCUGAACCAGCCAAGUAGCGUGAAGGAUGACUGCCCUAUGGGUUGUAAACUUCUUUUAUAUGGGAAUAAAACGUUCCACGUGUGGGAUUUUGUAUGUACCAUAUGAAUAAGGAUCGGCUAACUCCGUGCCAGCAGCCGCGGUAAUACGGAGGAUCCGAGCGUUAUCCGGAUUUAUUGGGUUUAAAGGGAGCGUAGGUGGAUUGGUAAGUCAGUUGUGAAAGUUUGCGGCUCAACCGUAAAAUUGCAGUUGAAACUGGCAGUCUUGAGUACAGUAGAGGUGGGCGGAAUUCGUGGUGUAGCGGUGAAAUGCUUAGAUAUCACGAAGAACUCCGAUUGCGAAGGCAGUUCACUGGACUGCAACUGACACUGAGGCUCGAAAGUGUGGGUAUCAAACAGGAUUAGAUACCCGAGUAGUC
This 460-nucleotide ribosomal RNA is filed under the name uncultured bacterium. RNAcentral's name for it is "partial 16S ribosomal RNA". It matches the Rfam family "Bacterial small subunit ribosomal RNA", at positions 338 to 795 of the family's 1533-position model. The record is from RNAcentral.